UAGAACACUUGUUUCAGCUGC
This 21-nucleotide non-coding RNA is filed under the name Arabidopsis thaliana (thale cress). The record is from RNAcentral. Lineage: Eukaryota; Viridiplantae; Streptophyta; Magnoliopsida; Brassicales; Brassicaceae.